This 543-nucleotide ribosomal RNA is filed under the name uncultured bacterium. RNAcentral describes it as "bacterial SSU rRNA". It matches the Rfam family "Bacterial small subunit ribosomal RNA", at positions 777 to 1320 of the family's 1533-position model. The record is from RNAcentral.
AAUAGAUACCCGGGUAGUCCACCCCGUAAACGUUGGGAACUAGUUGUGGGCUCCUUUCCACGGAUUCCGUGACGCAGCUAACGCAUUAAGUUCCCCGCCUGGGGAGUACGGCCGCAAGGCUAAAACUCAAAGGAAUUGACGGGGACCCGCACAAGCGGCGGAGCAUGCGGAUUAAUUCGAUGCAACGCGAAGAACCUUACCAAGGCUUGACAUACACCGGAAACGGCCAGAGAUGGUCGCCCCGCAAGGUCGGUGUACAGGUGGUGCAUGGUUGUCGUCAGCUCGUGUCGUGAGAUGUUGGGUUAAGUCCCGCAACGAGCGCAACCCUCGUUCUAUGUUGCCAGCACGUAAUGGUGGGAACUCAUGGGAUACUGCCGGGGUCAACUCGGAGGAAGGUGGGGAUGACGUCAAAUCAUCAUGCCCCUUAUGUCUUGGGCUUCACGCAUGCUACAAUGGCCGGUACAAAGGGCUGCAAUACCGUGAGGUGGAGCGAAUCCCAAAAAGCCGGUCCCAGUUCGGAUUGAGGUCUGCAACUCGACCUCA